Arabidopsis thaliana (thale cress) is the source of this 205-nucleotide long non-coding RNA. RefSeq annotates it as other RNA. The record is from RefSeq. NCBI's taxonomy places the organism in Eukaryota, Viridiplantae, Streptophyta, Magnoliopsida, Brassicales, Brassicaceae. The transcript has a single exon.
AGAGUUUGCACCACGGUGACUCACUGGUUCACGUAUCUCAGCAACCCAUUUCCCCCAAACCCUUUGUCGAACACCUCUAAACCGACAAACAGGAUUCUCUGGUCCACCUUUUCCUCUCAUACAACCUUUCUUCGAACCUUUGGCUUGAACCCUACGAGCUCUCGCCAAUCCUUCUUCCUCCCAUCUCUGUAACGUCGCUUCCACU